UGUGUGACUGCAAUUAUUGCAAUCCAUUGCUACUGUUAUUUCAGUUAGUUUGUGCAGUUCAGUUUCACAAUUCACUAUCCUGUUUAGAAGUGUCCAAAUGGUAGCAUAGCGUUGUUUAUUCAGUGUUAACACACCAGUGUACUUAGCCCCAUCAGUGAAUACCUGUUUUUGCUGAAAUGUGAGUUCCUAAGGCACAGUUAUACUGGUGUCAUCUGGCUGUUCUUCUGAGUAGAUGGCUAGCUGAUGUGGAAGCAGAGAAAAUGUUUACAGAGCACAAUCUCCAUUUACCAGUAGAGCCGGGACAAAAGGGGGGUCCGCACAAUGCUUAGGUGCAGGCCCUCAUUUAGCUUUAUGUUUGAUUUGGGGGGAUGUGUGUACAAGCAGCAUUGCAACAGGUCACCUACCCAGCAUAUUAUCACCCAACUGCCUUGGUAAAAAAGAAAACAAAAAUGCCUUUGUGUAAAUAGUUGUUUUUUUAAAGUGAAGUGUGUACGAUGAUUGUAUUGCAGUAUUAACUGUUGCUGAUAGUUAAUGGAAACUAAAUUAGGUGACCUUGGAAGGUCAGAAUGCAAGUGUGUUUGUGGGUGGGUGGGUGGGUGAGAGAGAGAGAGAGAAUUUGGCAUGCCUGCACCAUCUGUUUUUAGGUAGACGCCUCCUUUCCACAUAUAAUGUGGAGACAGGGGCUUGAUAUGUUUUCUAUAACUAUGAAGGGCUGGGGAAGCAAGUAUAUGCUUAUGUUUAUAUGUGAAAUAACUCCGUGUUCUCACUAUGGAUGUCAGGUAAUUCCAACAGAAGCGGGAGUGGAAAUUGCCAGUUUGCUUUUUUGUCCCCUGUCCAGAACAGAAAUCAAUCCAGCAAUCAAUGUUCGCUUUUGUUGCUGUUUCAGUCCACAAAUGAUAUAUACUUGAUCACUGUUUUUCCCAUUUGCAUAGCAUUUCUUUUACAUUGAACUGAAUAGUGUGAAAUAACAUAAUAAGAUCAGAAUUAAUUAUGUAAAAUUGCACCAGAGCAGACAGCAAAACAAGUAACAGUGGAAUGAAUGAAUGAAUGAAUGAAUCUUUAUUUGCAUCAGCUACCAGCCGUAGCAAUAAAAACAAACAAAAUGCAGUAUAUAGAGGAUAAAGGUAAAAAAAAAAAUCAGUUAUAUAAACAUUUGGGGAGAUUUGGAUCAAUAGUCAAAUAGUGGAUCUUAUUCUAAUUGCCCUGGCUAAGAACCUUGCAACCUUUGCUGUCACUUGCUCCUCUUGGUCUGCUAAGAGAAAGGAGACUGUGGCCCCUAACUGCAGCACUGCAUGUGAUGAACAAGUUCUGAAGGGGACAUCCUGAAAUGUUCCUGUCAAAAGUAAGGAUGUAAGGAGUCAGCCAUUUCCAUCCUGUCUUCAGUUCAUUGAAAUCAAUGCUUUUCCCAUUCUGCUACAUUUCAGCUUUUGAUAAAACCUAUCUUCAUCUCGCUAACCACUAUGGCCAAAACUAAUGUAAUUAAUUAGGUAAUUGAUUAUGUAAUCAAUUUCAGUGGAAGGAAAAGGUCAAAAACAAUUCAGGAAAUAACACAGUUAUUUACAUAAUGUUUGCCGAUUAAGAAAAGAACAAUAGCAAACCUAACUCAUAUUCACAUUUCUGUUACUGACCAACAAACAUGCAACUUGCAGCAAUUUCUGCUUCCACUUCUGUUUCUGGUGGAAUUCUCAGACAACCCUAGUGUAAGGGGCUCACUUGUGUUCUGGCAUGUAUGUCAACAGGAUCUUAUUUCUGUUGUGUUACUAGGGUUGCACUAUCGACCAAGAAACUAUAAUGCCUAAACCAAGUUUCCCAUGCUUAAUUUAAUCCUAAAGAUGCUGAUAUGUAGUGCCUUUUAAAGUUAAAAAGUGUGAAGUCCUUCAAUCCUGAUUUGUAUGGUACUCUAGUCUUUAUUUAAUCUACUCCAUCACAGCAAAAAAUAUUUAUUAUACUUCCUCAUAUUGAACUCAAUGGGACUUGAGUCUGAGAAGGCAUUUGUAACACUGUGCUUUAUCCCCACCCCCACCCCGUGUCUUCUUGUUGGGUUUAUAGUUAUCUCAGGACUUAAAACAGGAAAUACAUCAGAUUUGAAACCAACUUGCUGUAAUAACUAAACCCACAUGAUGCAUGACUCAUACUCUCACCUAUCCAUAAAUGCUGUUAUGACAAGCAACAAUCAAUGCUAUUCCUCUGCACACAUAACUGAUUAUUUUUUAUGUUUCCAUGUAUUGGUACUUUGUGGACAUUGUAUUGCAUUUACAUGUGGAGUGGGACUCCUCUGCAGUGUCCUUAAGUUCAGUGAGCAAUUGUAUCCGAUUGUGAGGAUAAAGAGAUCUAAAGAUGUACUGUUAAAAUGUAUAAAUAUAACAUAUUAAGACUCUGUGUUUUGUUUUUUUACCCUAGUGGAAUUUUUAUCCUGUUACAAUGUACUCCACUUUUCUAUUGUGGCACUUAAGAGGCCAACUUUGUAGGAGUUUUAUUCAUAAGGAAAUUUGUGUUGAUAAAUAAAGAAAUAAUGCCAGAUACAA
Molecule: long non-coding RNA, 2525 nt
Organism: Podarcis raffonei (Aeolian wall lizard)
Lineage: Eukaryota; Metazoa; Chordata; Lepidosauria; Squamata; Lacertidae
Exons: 2
Source: RefSeq, a predicted model, not a curated record